This 276-nucleotide ribosomal RNA is filed under the name Chloropicon laureae. RNAcentral's name for it is "partial Eukaryotic small subunit ribosomal RNA". It matches the Rfam family "Eukaryotic small subunit ribosomal RNA", at positions 708 to 981 of the family's 1831-position model. Lineage: Eukaryota; Viridiplantae; Chlorophyta; Chloropicophyceae; Chloropicales; Chloropicaceae. The record is from RNAcentral.
AUGAGUGGAUCAAGUUAAAGGUGUUUAUUGGAGUUCUAGUUCAUUUACUUUGAGAAAAUUAGAGUGUUUAAGGCAGCCUCUUGGGGCUCUGAAUACAUUAGCAUGGGAUAAUAGAAUAGGAUUUAGAUUUUAUAUUUGUUGGUUUGAAUUAUCUAAAUAAUGAUUAAUAGGGACAGUUGGGGGUAUUUAUAUUGGAUGGUUAGCGGUGAAAUGCAUGGAUCCAUUCAAGAUAAACUAAAGCGAAAGCAUUUACCAAGGAUGUUUUCAUUAAUCAAG